This 812-nucleotide ribosomal RNA is filed under the name uncultured archaeon. Its description in RNAcentral is "bacterial SSU rRNA". It matches the Rfam family "Archaeal small subunit ribosomal RNA", at positions 509 to 1319 of the family's 1478-position model. The record is from RNAcentral.
UCUAAAGGGUCCGUAGCCGGUUUAAUCAGUCUUCUGGGAAAUCUAAUCGCUUAACUAUUAGGCUUCCAGGGGAUACUGUUAGACUUGGGACCGGGAGAGGUAAGAGGUACUGCAGGGGUAGGAGUGAAAUCUUGUAAUCCCUGUGAGACCACCAGUGGCGAAGGCGUCUUACCAGAACGGGUCCGACGGUGAGGGACGAAAGCUGGGGGCACGAACCGGAUUAGAUACCCGGGUAGUCCCAGCUGUAAACGAUGCUCGUUAGGUGUCAGGAACGGUGCGACUGUUUCUGGUGCCGAAGGGAAGCCGUGAAACGAGCCACCUGGGAAGUACGGCCGCAAGGCUGAAACUUAAAGGAAUUGGCGGGGGAGCACUACAACGGGUGGAGCCUGCGGUUUAAUUGGACUCAACGCCGGAAAACUCACCGGGGGCGACAGCAAUAUGUAGGUCAGGUUAAAGGUCUUACCUGAAUCGCUGAGAGGAGGUGCAUGGCCGUCGUCAGUUCGUACUGUGAAGCAUCCUGUUAAGUCAGGCAACGAGCAAGACCCGUGCCCACUGUUACCAGCAUAUCCUUUAUGGAUGAUGGGGACUCUGUGGGGACCGCUGCUGCUAAAGCAGAGGAAGGUGCGGGCUACGGUAGGUCAGUAUGCCCCGAAUCUCCCGGGCUACACGCGGGCUACAAUGGUUGGGACAAUGGGUAUCUACUCCGAAAGGAGUUGGCAAUCUCUUAAACCCAAUCGUAGUUCGAAUUGAGGGCUGUAACUCGCCCUCAUGAAGCUGGAAUCCGUAGUAAUCGCGUUUCAACAUAGCGCGGU